Molecule: non-coding RNA, 73 nt
Organism: Parelaphostrongylus tenuis
Lineage: Eukaryota; Metazoa; Nematoda; Chromadorea; Rhabditida; Metastrongylidae
Source: the annotation of a GenBank genome assembly
GCGUCGGUGGUACAACGGUUUAGCACAUGCUCCCGGAAAGAGUAAGAUCUGAAUUCGAAUCCCGGUCGACGCA